RNAcentral lists this ribosomal RNA (547 nucleotides) under uncultured bacterium. Its description in RNAcentral is "bacterial SSU rRNA". It matches the Rfam family "Bacterial small subunit ribosomal RNA", at positions 355 to 896 of the family's 1533-position model. The record is from RNAcentral.
UGGGGAAUAUUGCGCAAUGGGGGGAACCCUGACGCAGCCAUGCCGCGUGAAUGAAGAAGGCCUUCGGGUUGUAAAGUUCUUUCGGUAUUGAGGAAGGUUGAUGUGUUAAUAGCACAUCAAAUUGACGUUAAAUACAGAAGAAGCACCGGCUAACUCCGUGCCAGCAGCCGCGGUAAUACGGAGGGUGCGAGCGUUAAUCGGAAUAACUGGGCGUAAAGGGCACGCAGGCGGUUAUUUAAGUGAGGUGUGAAAGCCCUGGGCUUAACCUAGGAAUUGCAUUUCAGACUGGGUAACUAGAGUACUUUAGGGAGGGGUAGAAUUCCACGUGUAGCGGUGAAAUGCGUAGAGAUGUGGAGGAAUACCGAAGGCGAAGGCAGCCCCUUGGGAAUGUACUGACGCUCAUGUGCGAAAGCGUGGGGAGCAGACAGGAUUAGAUACCCUGGUAGUCCACGCUGUAAACGCUGUCGAUUUGGGGGUUGGGGUUUAACUCUGGCGCCCGUAGCUAACGUGAUAAAUCGACCGCCUGGGGAGUACGGCCGCAAGGUUA